UCUAUCAAAUAUCCUUGCUUAUCUUCAUACCAGUUGUUUUUAGAAUAAUCCAUGCAGUGAUUCAGAAUUAAGAAAAAUAAUGAAGGCUAAAUAGUUUUUUUAUCUGUGUAUGGUAUAUCUGGUACAUUUCCUUGGUAUUGUUUAAGUAGUGCUACUCUGAAGAUUCUAGUCUUGCACUCAGAGGGUGGAACACAUCUAAAGUGAAGCCUGUCCUUCAUGGUUAUAUACAUAUAGAGCGAUAAAACUACAAUGCAAAAACAUAAACAUCUUAGUUGGAGAGGAAACUUCAGUUUACAGAUGGGGAAAAAAAGGUUUUGAAAAUACAUCAGAAUGUAUGAGAAUGUCUGUGGAAAAAGAUUUUGAAAAAUCUUUGAAAAGGGGAAAAAAACAAAACAAAACAAAACAAAAACUCACAAUAACGUGUCCUUGCAUUAACAUUGCUUAUAACGAGAAGAAAGUGUAUAUGUUUUCCCUCAGUGGAUCAAUAACCAUUCUUCCAUUCCAGCCAAGAGUAUGACUAGUUUCACAUCCCAGCACUGGGAUGAAAAUAAACAGACCUUGCUGUCUCCUCUGAUUGUGGCUACUCAGUGUUACCAAAAACAUGGUCAUAAAGGAACUUGAAUUUAUACAAUUUAAGUCACAGUGCUGCUUACUUGGUCUCUCUAGAAUACUCUAAAACUCUUUUUAUGAUCAGAUUCACAGAGAACCAUGUGGCUGAGUCUACUUCCCUACGAGGACCCACCAAACCACAGAGUGGCACAUCUUAAAAUGUUUCGUAAUGCCAUGCAGUUGCUUGGCAACCAGGUCAUGGAUCAUAUCUUUCUUUUUGCAAAUAAGGAUUACAUAUAAGACUUUUCUAUUAGAUAUUCCCGAGUCUAACAGUUAAAAGCAAUUUCCAGUAUCAGAGCAGGCCAUUUUAAACUUCUAUUUCAAUUUUGCUUUUGCAUAAUAGACUUCACCUUUGAAUUAAUUUCUCUAUCAGUCUGUAUGUAUUUGUAAAUAUACGUGCAUAUACUUAUUUACAUAAAAUUAGGUAUAAAUAUGCAUAUACAUACACAACUAUGGGUGAGCAUGUAUGUAAACUUAAAAAUCUAGGGUGAACUUUCAUUCCUGACAAGGUAUUACUUAGCAUGAUAAAAUUGAUAACUAAGAGGUGCUCAAUUUACCAAAAAGACAAAGAUCACAAUAAGGCCUGUAUAAAAGAAUAGAGCACUAAACACGUUCUGCUAAUUUUCUUGUUAAAAAAAUAAAUAUAAAAAUAAAUCUUAGUGCUUCUCUGCUUAAGGAACAAGGAAUUUCCAGUUCAUUGUUGACUUUGAUAGUGAAUGUUAUAUAGAGAGGGCAUUUUUAUUCAUUUAUCCAAUAACCUAUGAAGUCUGUAUUUUUUUUUUUCAGUAAUAAUGGGCUAUGGAAAGCCAGAAAUUACAAUGGCAGUCCACUUCAGAUGCAUGUGUUACAAUGUGGUCAGAAAGAUCGACUGUUCUAUUUAAACAAGAAUUUCUUUGAAUAUGAACAGGAAGAGGCUCUCAGUGAGUCUUAGAAAAUUAAACUUAAAAUACAUCAAGUUUUGUGAUUCUGCCUGAUCUUGUGACCUGGGGGAAAGCUGCCUCACUUCUGUUAUUUUCAAAUGCAAUAAUGUCCUGGAGAUUUACUUCAAUGCUUUCAACCUUGUUUCCACAGUAGGGUCUCACAACAGGGUCUCACAAUUCUUUAUACACUGCUUCAGGAAGACUUCUCAUCUCCUGAUAAACCUGAACUAUCACAAAGGAAGAUGAUGCUGGAUUUAUUUCAUGCACAGGAAUUUCACUGCCUUCAGCUGGGACUGUUGGAAGUAUUACAAAAUGUCUUCACCAGGUUAAAUCAGGGAUGCCUUAGUCAGGAAGCAAUUGAUUUGACCUGUCAUCGUAGUAGGCCUCUUGGCAGUUACCCAGUAAAAAGGCAAGUCUUGGGGAGCACAAGGUAGAAGGGAGGAACAUAGAUAAGGUAAGAAAAAUGCCAAAACAAAAAAUCCAUCUCUGCCCUGUUUUCCUAAUCUGUUAUUCACUAUUAUUGUUCAAUAAGACAUUAAAACCAGUUGUCAGAGUAUGGGCAAUGUCUCUCUUCAUAUUCAUUCUGCAUAUCUGAAGAACCCAUUUUGCUCUUCCCUCCCUCCCCCCCACCCCAUUUCUUAAUCCCCAGCUCUUCAAGGUGGGUGAUGCACACUGUCCUUCCACAGUAUGUAUGUGCAUCAGUUGCAGCUCUGGUGUCAUUUUUUAAGGUGGGUAUAGGCACACCCUGCCUCUCUCUUCAUCAUCAAUUGUAGUCAGGAAGAGCCAUUUCAAGUUGCUUUCUGUCCUAGCAAUUCUGUCUCCAAAUCAGAGGAUGGCUCAGCUGGCAGCAUGUUCGCGGGGCGCAGCCUUUGUUCUGCUGCUACGCAGCCACCCGGCACUGGGGACGAGAGGAGAGCACAGGUGAGAUCAGCCCCGCGUCAGGGGUUGAGACAGCAGUGUGGGAGGCUGCUCAGCACUGAUGUUACAGUGAAGCGUAAUGAAAUGUCAAACACAGUAAUUUUGCAUGCUUUCUCCCAUCACCUCCCAUUGCACUGCUAGGCAGACAUUCGUAGUGUCGUCUUGAGCAGGGAAAGUUAAAAACAGAAAUCACAGGUUACUGGUGAAUAAAACAGAACCCUUUCUCUCCACUCAGUCAGUGUCUUCUAAUUAAAAAUGUUUUUAAUGAAAGCAGAAGAAAGCAGACAUUGUCUGACUGCCAUUGUUCUGGUUGGCAAGGUUGAACAGCUCUAAUCCAUAAUAUCUGUAAUAUCUCAUUAAUUUAGGAUUCAUAUUUCUUGUUUUUCUCCUUUCUUUCAGUCUCGUUAAUUACAGCCUCAUCUAUAGAAGCAAGGAGUAUUCUCAAAUAAUGGAAAGGAACAUCUUUUUCAUGAUAAUUAAGCAGAGGAAUGGGGACAGAAAGCAAAUUGCCAUGCAUCACGCAUACCAGUAAAGAGGAAAUGGUGCUGUUAAGGAGUGUACGGGCUGAGCGGGUAUGGCAGCCUGAUGUCCUGGAGGAGUAAAAAUCCCAGUUACUCACUGGUCUUCACCCAGUAACAGGCUUUCUGCUGUCCCCACUGGAUAGCUUGUGGUACCUUUGUUGCUUAACCCCAUAGGAGGAGCCUCUGCUAGGUAACACAGACAGAUCUGAAUUGAAAAACACACAGUGCUGGCAGUAAGGGUGGGUGAAAUGCAUUUUUUUUUCUUAUGCUUCAUGUUUCUGAAAAUGUCAGUGUAUUAUGUAUAUUUAAUUUUCCAAAACUGAACAGAAAGGCUUGGGCUUUUUUGUUUGGUUGGGUUUUUUUUUGUUUGUUUUUGUUUUCCUAGUGGAAAAUCAUAAGUAAUGAAUGUGACAGAAUUAUUCUGGUCCUGUGGACCCGAGAAGAGUGUGGGUUCCCUGUGGCUAAGUAAAGUUCCUCGUCAGGGACACAUGGGCACUGCUGAUGGUGCUCUGAGAUCUUGACUCUUGUUUCUAAGUUUUGUGUGGGAAGUUGUUCCUUCACUGACAAAAGGGAAGGAAGAAGAUUUCUACAGAAACUUCUAAAGACCUAGAAGUAACCUGACAUUUGCCUUGUAUGUUCAUAUCUGCAAGACUUCAAAGAUGCUUUACGUUACUAGGAUCAGAUAAAGGUUUGAAACAGUCUUUUAUUGACCUUUUACAAUUCAUAGACUGUUUUAUUUCUGAGCCCUUUUUCGAAGUAUGUUAGGCUGAGCUAGUAUAAAGAGGUGAGAGCUGUGAGUUGCUGACUUCAAAGGCAGAGCAAUAGGGUGAGACAAAAUUUUGGGCCAGGGAAGAGAUGGAAAAGAAAGAGAAAGGUGUAGAAAGAAGCUUGAGAAGAGGUGGGAAAAAAAUGGACGUAAGAGGACAUUGGGGAAAAAAAACAAUCUAUUUAGAAGAGGCAUAAAAGAACUGAGGCAUACUCAGUACGUUUAUGAAGGUAGCGAGGAGACUUCUUAUUCCCUAGUAAGUGUCUAAUGAUUUCCACUGGCUGUGGUGUGCUCUUCCCUCAGUACCUAACAGGCUGACAGGAUAAAAACCUCCACACUAAUUCAGAGAUAAGAGUGUACAUCUAAACUCUUUAUUUAAUGGGCACCCCCUGUCUUUUCUCAUGAAUGUUCAAGAAAACAAAAUAGUUUCAUCUGUAGGGCCUCAAGCACUGCCCAGAGAUGCAUGGAAUAGCAAGGUAGCACCUCAAAGGGCACUUCUGUCUCCUCGCUCUGCCUCGUAAAAUGUGAACCAGCAGAAAAUAGGGAAAAAGUGAGAGGAGGAGAAAAGCGUCUCUGUGAAAGAAUAUACCAUGAACAAAAUACUCAGAUGUGACAAGAACCAAGUAGUAGAGGUAUGCCUUGAAAGCAGAUUUUUGCAGAUCCAGGUAGGCCCUGUCCUUGAAACACAAAGAAAGAGAAGAAAAGGGCUCUCCCACUGCUAUUUAUUUCAGUGCCUAAACCAGAGCACAUAGGCUUUUAUAAGGUCUUGUUAGAGCAGAGAAUACUUUAAAACAGGGAAUAUGUGGAGCUGUCCUUUGCAGCGGAUGGUUGGUGGUAAAUCGUCCUGUCAGCGGCUGGAGGCUCUCCAGGCCGAGUCCCGCAGGAGGACACUAACUGCAGCAGAGGGCUGCUGCACUUUGCUUGGCAGCACUGUCCAGUAGUACCCAUCGUGCUCAGGUAUCCUUCUUCUUGAAGCUCAUGGAAUUAUUCAUGAGUUUAUUCGGUCGAAUAGUCAGGCUUCCUGUAUUAGAGUCUGGCCUACAAUUUAUACAUAGCAUUGACAGAGAGCUGAAGGACGUUUUAACUCAAAUGUUUAAGCAAAUUCAAAAACUAGGCUAAAAAUAAACAAGAUUAUAAAAAAUAAAGAAACAAAGAUAUUAUAAAACCAGCCUGGUAAACCUGCAGGGGUGCUUGGCCAAAUCUCCUGGGUCACAGCUGCUGCUAAGAGGGGACUGUGAGCUGGGACAGCCCAAACUGUCUGGGAAAGCACUUGCCUAGAAGUCACCCUUUAACAAGAGGAAGGCAAAUGUCGAGCAGAUUAAACAGUCACAAGAAAACUGGUGUGGUGGGUUUGAAACAAAGCAGAGGUGUGGGUGUGAGCUGGGGCAGUGGGCAGCAGGACGGGUCCCCUAUCUGCAGUUGGAGGGAGCUGGUGCCAGGGGAGAGCUGGGGCAUGUGGGCCGCACGGCUCCUCCAGUGAGGUGCUGAGGGGCACUGAGAAACUGCAAGGGGCACGUUAACAUUUUAUAAAAGCCCAGCAGUACGGCUUUGCUGAUACGGAUUAAGAAUAUUUAGUUCCCUGAUUGCUGGCUAAUUAUGUCAUUAAUCAAUAAAUCGCUUCAGUAUUGACCUGGUUUAAGCUACAUGAACAGGGCAUUUUUCUUCCUGUAAUGUAAGUCCCCAUGUAAGUGUUUCACUUAGACCCCAUUUCCUAAAUCCAGAUUUGCACACCUGUUUAACGCAAAUUGUAUGACCAAAAGUACGGAGGUGGACAACAAGAAUGUUUACGAAUUCCUGUUCCUUUUUGAAGCUGGUAUGAAAGUAAUUCAGAAAUGAAGAAAGAAAAAAUAAAUAAAAAGGAACAAGGUGUUCAACAGGGAAAAAAAAGUAUCUCUUCCCUGUUGUGAUUCUGAACAUCAGCCUGCCUUUCUUGGGGAUCAGAGAAAGACCACAAUACCCAAAUUCAGCAGAAUGCUGUCCAAACUUCUUAAGUAGAAUAAUUGUCCAUCAGAAAUUUGUUUCUAGAUAUAUAAGACACAAUUCCCUGGUGAAUUUUUCUUGGAGUAUUGGAAGCAGCGUACAUUGCUGAUGAAUGUGUGCUAAACAGGAAAAUGAAAUUAUCCCUUCUCCUAAGCUGCUGAACUCUAACUUCUCUGAAAUCAAACAACUCAAUUUCUGAAUGAAGAAAACUUCUUUUUAACACUUGCACACACUGCAGGUCUGGGGAGGUAAAAUCUGCACCACACUGAGCAUCUGAUGCUGUCCUGAAGAAAAUUUCAUGUGUUUCAGGUAUUUGUUCUGCCUUUGUCAAGAACUCUAUUGUUUUUGUAUUUUAAGUUGGUAGCAUACAAGAAAAGGGACAUGAGGAUGAUCAUACAUCACUUGAACAAGACCUUGCCAUCCUUCUUCAUGUUGAAUCUGCCUGUUCUAGGAGAGGGAAGUCAGCUUCAGGUUCUGGCCUUCAUCUCCCAGGUAAUGUACAGAUAGCAAAUUACUUAAACCACAUUGGGGAACACACUGUAACGCUAGAUUAGAAUCAGAGGGAAAAAAGGGAAGGUCAUUAGAUUAGAAAGAGUAAGUAUGGAAAUUAUAUUUAUAUAAAAUCUGUUAUAGAAUCAAUUGCAAACUGCUUCACACAAGGAACAAAAUUAUGCUCCUGUUGUUUUUGUGAAUUCCCCCAUUUCAAAAUACAAUGUCUGUGCACUGCUGUGGAGCUGGGGGACUCCCCGGGGUAGUUUGCUGCCUUCUUCUUGACCACCUAACACUUGCCCACUGAAGGGCAGCUCCUCAUAUGCCACUGGGGAGAGUCCUGACACCUGAGUAAUAACACAGUUGAUGAGAAAAAGAUACCUCUGUACCUUAUCUUUGUUAUUUUUGACCAUUUCCCCAGCAGGAAAAAUGUUUAUUCAUUUUAGUAUGUCUCCCUCUGAAUAACCACAGAAAAGCACUUUCAUUACUGCUAAUGGCUAUUGUACAUUUUUUCCGCUGUGAUGUGUCCUGACUUGAACAUCAGUUAUCUUGAAUAUGAAAUUAUGGAAAAAUGAGUCUGCAGAAAUGCAGUUUGCAGCGUGUGUUGUCACUGCUUUCAAGUAGAAAAGUAAAAGCCACAGUGUUUGCUCACCCCAGAAAACUGGAGCAACUGCCUAUUUUUAUACUCUAAUCUCAGCAUGUAGAGAUCCAGCCAUUAAGCUCCUAUCAAGGUUAAUUAAAGUUUUGAAGGCAAAGGUUUGAAAUGCAGACUUGCUAGAGAGAACCACAUUUCCUCUAAGGAUUAAAUUCAAGUCAGUCACUGCAGCUCUUUUUGGUUUCCUGUUAAUUCACCUCUUUGUCCAGGUGGUUUUUACCCAUCAGAAUAAGACCUGAAGGGCUCAGGAAGCGCAGUUUGUGAGCUGGGGCCCUAACUCUUAAGCUGAAGACCUAUAAAUUAACCAGGAGCUGUCAGACAGCUCUACAUGAUCAAACAAAAGCCUAACGCUAAGCUGUUUAACAAUUCUAAGAUAUACAGCAAUGAAAAGGGAACGGAAACUAGGACAAAAAUAUGCACUAUGAUCUGAGAACAUUUGCAUAAUCUUUUGAAAACAAAGUGCUUUCUUUUAUUUUUUUCCCCUUUAUUUGUCCAAAUACGGUGAAUAGUCUUAAAAAUGCAGUUUUAAUAGAUAUAUUGCACCAGUUUGGUCUUUCUAAAAAUGAAAUAGAAGAUUCAGCAUUUGAAAUAUCACAGAAAGAUAUUAGCUAACUGAAUGCUAACAAUUUCAUACAGAUGUCUACUUAUCAUGCAAAUAGUUUAUUUAGAUGCAGAGACACAUUAGACUCCAGUGAUCGGGAAGUGAAAAACGGUAGUUGCUUCAUGUUGUUUCAGCAGACGUGACUAGAAUUUCAGCGUGUUUCCCCUCAUAGUUCAGACAGCAACACUGAAAUAAGCAACAAAAAUGAGGGACACAAACUGUGUAUACAAAGGAGGCUUGAUUUCUAAUACACUGGAUAUUAGCAGUAGAUGAUGGGCUGCAGAAGAACAGAUGCCUUUAAAUCAGCAGAGCAUUAUGCAAACAGCUGUUAACAAGACAAAGCAUGUAAUUUCACCUACUGUACUCUUAAUUUUUCUCCUACCAUGCUAUCACAUCCUGAUAUCGGUAUGACAUUUAAAAGGAGGUCUCAGCUGGUUUAUAUAGCACUUCAUAACCCCUGAUUUGCAAAAGGGUAACUGACUGAUACUACUUUUGAGCUCCAGAAAAUAAUACAGUUUAUAGCCUUUUGUGGAACACGAAUGGGUUUUCAUUAGAUUUUAAACCUAAACUGCUUCCUGACCUUUUCCCAAUACCAUACUUAAUAUUUUUCUCUUUAAAUGAAAUGAUACUCAAACCCUAAACAUUUGUACAUCACUUUUACCUAUUACUGCUCCUGAAGAUGACUUAAUCAUCCUAAUAUCUAGCGUAAAGGUCUUGCUGUUGCACCUAAUCGCUGAUAGCAUGCAGAAUGAAGGGCCUCCAUUUACGGAUGGGUCAGACAGCCAAGUGUCCUAGCAGCACGUAGUCCACAGCAGAGCACUCUUCUCUGCGUGCUAAACAGACCACAGAAUGUUUCAUCUCCUGGAAAACACAUCAUUUAUUCAUACUAGAGCAAUAUCUCUGAAAGCAGUGGAUGAAAGCAGAAGUCUUUUCCUUGACAAAGAUUCUCUUUUGACUGGUGCAAGUACCUGCAAAUUCAGGGGAAAAAAAAAAAAAAAAAAAAAAAAAAAAAAAAAAAAAAAACUAUUUAGAAAGGGCUUUCUGAUACUUCUCAGUGAUUUUGUGUUGAAGGGAACCAUUCUAGAUAGCAGACUAAAUUUGGUUGUUGACCGUGUUCAAUAUAAGUAUCCAAUUUUGUUUUCUUUUCAUCCUCCAUCGUCACUUAGCAAAGUUUGACCGAUGAUGCUGCCGUUGAGGGGGUGGAUGGGUGCCCUCCUCCUCCUCUGCAGCAGCCUGGGACAGGAAGUGACACCUUUUGGCUGCCAUCACCACCAAUUGCUCGACUGGCCAAGAAAGAGCAAGACGUUGGCAGCAACCCCCGACGGAUCAGGAUGAGGUGAUGCCCCCUCGCUGUGGGGGCGGCUGGGCCGCAAGGUAGCGGAUCCGCAGGACAGCAGUACCACAGGGCGCUCAUCCCUGGGCCUUGUUAUGAAAGAUUUUGUGAUCAGUGCUGGUUUUUCUGCUUUUCUGAAUUGUUUUGCAAUGUGUUGCGGAGUUGCUUAGGCCUUAGGGUAAUAAGGCUUAUAUAUCACUACUGUGAGGUUUUUUCCUGGAGAGUGGAAACUGCCAAGCAUGAAAAAGGGAAAAAAAAUAACAGUUGCUUUUUUUUUUUUUUAUGAAUCCCUGAUGUUUAUUCUGCAGUGUACACCCAAUAUCAAUUACUUUAAUCACAGUGGAGACUGUGUGAAUGCAUCAGAGAGAAAGUCUAUAAACAUGAUAAAAAAACAUCAUAUUGUACUCACUAUCAGUUUAUCUUCUUUUUUUUUAACUCUCUUGUAGGUGACAGUAGUGAUAAAAAAUAAAAUUACAAAAACCUGAGGCAUCGUGUUGUCCCAAUCCCAGUUGUUUUUAUGGCGUAUUUAUGCAUUUAAGAAGUCGAUGUUUUCGUCGAAGGAAUGUUUGAUUCAAAAACAAGGCAAUUUAUUAAGGUAGGAUAAAAUAAUGUAAAUUAUUUUAUCUAAAUUCUGUGUUCUUACGUUUUACUAACAAAUGAAAAGAUGUUCAAAGUGCUUA
This is a long non-coding RNA of Oxyura jamaicensis (ruddy duck), 9472 nucleotides long. RefSeq lists it as uncharacterized. The transcript is spliced from 5 exons. Lineage: Eukaryota; Metazoa; Chordata; Aves; Anseriformes; Anatidae. The record is from RefSeq and is a predicted model, not a curated record.